Non-coding RNA from Lolium perenne, 1467 nucleotides. The record is from RefSeq and is a predicted model, not a curated record. NCBI's taxonomy places the organism in Eukaryota, Viridiplantae, Streptophyta, Magnoliopsida, Poales, Poaceae.
CCCCCUCACAUUGCUAUCCUUAUGUUGCGCUUCUUUAUCGAGUCACGUGUCCUAUUCCACUUGUUACCAUAAUAAUCCUAUAUGCAUCAUUCCUUACCCAUAGCUGUUGCUUGAUGUUUGAGCAUUGCAAGUCGUAGGCGUGUUUAGGCUCUGUUGUUUAUCUCGAUCUGUUAUCGGGAUAUGUUGGGUUGUUGGGAGGUUAUCACAUGCUAUAUCAGUUGUUGGAGAUACUCAUGCUUUACUUAAUUGUUAACAACUAAAAUUGUAAGCAGAGGCAUCUGUGAGCCCCUUUGCGAAAGCAUCGGAACUUUGACUUGCUAAUGUCCCCUAGGACCCGAGUUCUUGUUAUCUGUUCCGAGAUUGAGCGCUCUACCCGUACGUGGGGGAUGGGACCCCCAUCACCCACUACCUUUCCUCGAGUCUGUUUAUUGGGAGCCACAACCUUGGUUUUAUUUGCCCAUAUGCACGAUAUGCACGAUUUACUUCCUGUUGCCUUCGGGUGUUUAUUUCUGUACUGUACUCAUAACGCGGAUAGACUUAUCUUGUGCCUGGUCGUAAGUGCCCGCCUGGACUAUGUCGCAAACCUCUGGGUCCGUAUCGGAGUACGGCCGAACUUCGUCACGGGUAGCUUAGUUGGGUGGCUCCCAUUAAACUUUCUCUUGCAUUGGGAACGGUCUUGAUGUGAGACUCCACCUGUAGUAAGUGGGUUCGAGCAUGCGUAUGGUUACAUUUGGGCAACCCCUGCAGGGUGUACAUCUUAUCGAUAAGCCGUGUCCGCGGUUAUGGACGACUUGGAAUUGUAUAGCUUGAUCAUAGAACAACUUACACCUUAUACUUGUUGUUAAUAAUCUGAUAAUAACUUGCGUAGUAAUAUAGCAUUACUACAACCGAUACCUAAUAAAACUUGUCCACCGUUGAGUGCAUUUUACAUUGCCUCUUCGCAACUGUUGGAGGGGUUAUGUGUAAUCGGCUGGGUUAUGUUUGUGUAGUAUUUUAUCUGUCACCUUGUGCGCUCUCUUAUCUUAUCUGAUUAGACGGAUGUUGUAGCGUGUCUCUAUUGGUUAUAGUUAUGCUGCCGCUAAACCUACCAUAUAGCCCCCGGCGAUAUAUAUAUUAUACUCGCCCGGCGAGCAUAGCCAUUUCUAGUCUCGCUAAGUACGUGCCGGAGUUCGUUCCUUGGUACUUACUCUCGUCUUUUCCCCUUUCUCUUUUGCUUCCUCCCUCUUGUCGGCAACCGAUGGCCCGACUUUGACAGGUACAAGAUGACGACAUUAGCAAGGUUACCCUUCCGGCUUGGCCUGGGCAGGGUUAUGGACGCCACUGGUUAUCUUCAGGACUCUUAGUCCAAUUUGUAUCUUGUCCGUACUCGGACGUAUUUGAUCUUAUGUAUGAUUUGGAUCUUUGUAUUGUAUAUUUGUAUCUUGACUCGUUGGAGUCAUUGUUGUAAUAUAUGUAUCUUGUGGGCUC